AGUUGCGAUCAUACCAGCACUAAUGCACCGGAUCCCAUCAGAACUCCGCAGUUAAGCGUACUUGGGCGAGAGUAGUACUAGGAUGGGUGACCCCCUGGGAAGUCCUCGUGUUGCAACCC
RNAcentral lists this ribosomal RNA (119 nucleotides) under Helianthus annuus (common sunflower). The record is from RNAcentral. Lineage: Eukaryota; Viridiplantae; Streptophyta; Magnoliopsida; Asterales; Asteraceae.